AGGCUUAACACAUGCAAGUCGAGGGGCAGCAUGGUCUUAGCUUGCUAAGGCCGAUGGCGACCGGCGCACGGGUGAGUAACACGUAUCCAACCUGCCGUCUACUCUUGGACAGCCUUCUGAAAGGAAGAUUAAUACAAGAUGGCAUCAUGAGUCCACAUGUUCACAUGAUUAAAGGUAUUCCGGUAGACGAUGGGGAUGCGUUCCAUUAGAUAGUAGGCGGGGUAACGGCCCACCUAGUCUUCGAUGGAUAGGGGUUCUGAGAGGAAGGUCCCCCACAUUGGAACUGAGACACGGUCCAAACUCCUACGGGAGGCAGCAGUGAGGAAUAUUGGUCAAUGGGCGAGAGCCUGAACCAGCCAAGUAGCGUGAAGGAUGACUGCCCUAUGGGUUGUAAACUUCUUUUAUAAAGGAAUAAAGUCGGGUAUGCAUACCCGUUUGCAUGUACUUUAUGAAUAAGGAUCGGCUAACUCCGUGCCAGCAGCCGCGGUAAUACGGAGGAUCCGAGCGUUAUCCGGAUUUAUUGGGUUUAAAGGGAGCGUAGAUGGAUGUUUAAGUCAGUUGUGAAAGUUUGCGGCUCAACCGUAAAAUUGCAGUUGAUACUGGAUAUCUUGAGUGCAGUUGAGGCAGGCGGAAUUCGUGGUGUAGCGGUGAAAUGCUUAGAUAUCACGAAGAACUCCGAUUGCGAAGGCAGCCUGCUAAGCUGCAACUGACAUUGAGGCUCGAAAGUGUGGGUAUCAAACAGGAUUAGAUACCCUGGUAGUCCACACGGUAAACGAUGAAUACUCGCUGUUUGCGAUAUACUGCAAGCGGCCAAGCGAAAGCGUUAAGUAUUCCACCUGGGGAGUACGCCGGCAACGGUGAAACUCAAAGGAAUUGACGGGGGCCCGCACAAGCGGAGGAACAUGUGGUUUAAUUCGAUGAUACGCGAGGAACCUUACCCGGGCUUAAAUUGCAGAUGAAUUACGGUGAAAGCCGUAAGCCGCAAGGCAUCUGUGAAGGUGCUGCAUGGUUGUCGUCAGCUCGUGCCGUGAGGUGUCGGCUUAAGUGCCAUAACGAGCGCAACCCUUGUUGUCAGUUACUAACAGGUUCUGCUGAGGACUCUGACAAGACUGCCAUCGUAAGAUGUGAGGAAGGUGGGGAUGACGUCAAAUCAGCACGGCCCUUACGUCCGGGGCUACACACGUGUUACAGUGGGGGGUACAGAGGGCCGCUACCACGCGAGUGGAUGCCAAUCCAAAAAACCUCUCUCAGUUCGGACUGGAGUCUGCAACCCGACUCCACGAAGCUGGAUUCGCUAGUAAUCGCGCAUCAGCCACGGCGCGGUGAAUACGUUCCCGGGCCUUGUACACACCGCCCGUCAAGCCAUGGGAGCCGGGGGUACCUGAAGUGCGUAACCACGAGGAGCGCCCUAGGGUAAAACUGGUGACUGGGGCUAAG
This 1437-nucleotide ribosomal RNA is filed under the name uncultured organism. RNAcentral's name for it is "SSU rRNA". It matches the Rfam family "Bacterial small subunit ribosomal RNA". The record is from RNAcentral.